UACGAAGGGGGCUAGCGUUGCUCGGAAUUACUGGGCGUAAAGCGCACGUAGGCGGCUUGUUAAGUCGGAGGUGAAAUCCUGGAGCUCAACUCCAGAACUGCCUUCGAAACUGGCGAGCUUGAGUCCGGGAGAGGUGAGUGGAACUGCGAGUGUAGAGGUGAAAUUCGUAGAUAUUCGCAAGAACACCAGUGGCGAAGGCGGCUCACUGGCCCGGUACUGACGCUGAGGUGCGAAAGCGUGGGGAGCAAACAGG
This 253-nucleotide ribosomal RNA is filed under the name uncultured bacterium. Its description in RNAcentral is "partial 16S ribosomal RNA". It matches the Rfam family "Bacterial small subunit ribosomal RNA", at positions 524 to 776 of the family's 1533-position model. The record is from RNAcentral.